CGGCAGUUAGCCUAGUGGUUAGAGUGUAGGGACGGCAGGUAGCCUAGUGGUUAGAGUGUAGGGACGGCAGGUAGCCUAGUGGUUAGAGUGUCGGGACGGCAGGUAGCCUAGUGGUUAGAGUGUAGGGACGGCAGGUAGCCUAGUGGUUAGAGUGUAGGGACGGCAGGGUAGCCUAGUGGUUAGAGUGUAGGGACGGCAGGUAGCCUAGUGGUUAGAGUGUAGGGACGGCAGGGUAGCCUAGUGGUUAGAGUGUAGGGACGGCAGGUAGCCUAGUGGUUAGAGUGUAGGGACGGCAGGUAGCCUAGUGGUUAGAGUGUAGGGACGGCAGGGUAGCCUAGUGGUUAGAGUGUAGGGACGGCAGGUAGCCUAGUGGUUAGAGUGUAGGGACGGCAGGUAG
Oncorhynchus tshawytscha (Chinook salmon) is the source of this 397-nucleotide long non-coding RNA. NCBI's taxonomy places the organism in Eukaryota, Metazoa, Chordata, Actinopteri, Salmoniformes, Salmonidae. The record is from Ensembl.